CGAACAUGUCAUCCAACUUUUGCCUGUAUUGAGCUAAAGUCUGCAAAGACGGGGGGAAGGGAUUGUCAACGUCCCACAUUGAUAAAAUAAGAGAGAACAUGAGUUCUAGUUAGUAUGUAUAUUCUUGUAUAAAUAGGUGUAUUCUUUUGGCUGAAAUAAGAGAGAACAUAUGAGUUCAUAAGGCCAUGGGUUAGACUAGCUAAUUGGUUGAAUUCAAUCUUUUAGUGUGGUUUGGCCCAGGUGUGAUAUAGCCCAGUUGAGUAACCAUAGCCCAAUCUUUAAUUAUAACAGGAUUUGACC
Ipomoea nil (Japanese morning glory) is the source of this 300-nucleotide long non-coding RNA. RefSeq lists it as uncharacterized. NCBI's taxonomy places the organism in Eukaryota, Viridiplantae, Streptophyta, Magnoliopsida, Solanales, Convolvulaceae. The record is from RefSeq and is a predicted model, not a curated record. The transcript has 5 exons.